GGUGUUAAAACAGUCAACACACCAAAGGCGUCCGUUAGCAGAUUCUUGUAACUGUUCUGAGAAUGUAUCCAGUACUAUACAUGACUGCUUGAUGGCCUGGGUCAUUACUGAAAAGGAUCUUUUGACCAGUUCGCCACCCAAUUUAAACGAUGUAUAUAUGGCACCCUACUGGACGUACAUGACUGCUUGAUGGCCUGGGUCAUUACUGAAAAGGAUCUUUUGACCAGUUCGCCACCCAAUUUACACGAUGUAUAUAUGGCACCCUACUGGACACACAUGACUGCUUGAUGGCCUGGGUCAUUACUGAAAAGGAUCUUUUGACCAGUUCGCCACCCAAUUUACAUGAUGUAUAUAUGGCACCCUACU
Protopterus annectens (West African lungfish) is the source of this 366-nucleotide long non-coding RNA. RefSeq lists it as uncharacterized. Lineage: Eukaryota; Metazoa; Chordata; Ceratodontiformes; Protopteridae. The transcript is spliced from 4 exons. The record is from RefSeq and is a predicted model, not a curated record.